Molecule: non-coding RNA, 63 nt
Filed under: Sus scrofa (pig)
Lineage: Eukaryota; Metazoa; Chordata; Mammalia; Artiodactyla; Suidae
Source: RNAcentral
GACGGCGCGCGCCAGCGACUCUACCGUGUUGACGGUGCGUAGGGCGGCGGCGCGCGCCGGGCU